This 1136-nucleotide long non-coding RNA is filed under the name Cricetulus griseus (Chinese hamster). Its description in RNAcentral is "lncRNA (ENSCGRG00015042021.1)". Lineage: Eukaryota; Metazoa; Chordata; Mammalia; Rodentia; Cricetidae. The record is from RNAcentral.
AUGAUUGUGUACAUCUUAAAGUGAAUUACCUGUUAUGAUAAAUAAUUUCUUUCAGAAACAACUACUGAAGUAUAGUAGGCACAAAAAAUUGCAAUUCCACCUCAAAAUCCACCGUGGGAAAUCUAUGCUUUUAUUAGGCAAGAGUGUGAGUGACUCCAAAGCAGCCACAUUGCCAAGUCUUUGCCCAUUGUGGAUGAUGGCUUCUUCAUGGCUACAUAGUUAUGGCACUGCACAACUCUCUUUCAACAGCCUACAUCUUGUAUUACCUCCUGAAACUAAAGACCAUGAGUAAUUGGGACAUAACUGCAUACAAAUUACAGGAAACUCAGGAACUCAAGAUCAACCAAAACCUUGUCACACCAGCUUUUCAGUGAUGUGAAGCAUUAAGGAGCAUGUCUGUUUCCAUUUCUAAUGGCCACUACAGCAAGGAAUCAUAUCAUACCAUUCCCUGAAAAGAAAGAUGACCAUUUUGGAAUUGUCUUCACAGAUACUCCACUCUUGGAUAGUACAACCUCAACUCUGUUUUAUUACCCAUUCAAUGGGCUGUUCCACCGCUCAUUUGUGUUCUGUUGGGUCUCUUUGUGCAACAGUUUGUUGCAUUAAUUUCUCUCAGGAGAUACAUGUAAAUGUCUAUUCAUUCCAGAGUUCGCAUUGAAGAGAUCAAAGAAACAUCUUAAAGAGGCAACAUGAGGAUGUUAGAUCCCCUGGAGCUGGACUUACAGGGUAUUGUUAGCUGUAUGACAUGGAUGCUGCAAACUGAGCCCAGGUCCUAUGCAAGAGCAAUGAAGUGUUCUUGAACCAUCCCUUCAGCCCCAGAUAUUUUCACUGUUAGGUAGAAUUUACAUUUGUGUGCUUUCCACCAAUGUAUUUAGAAUACUUUGAGAGUUGACUUGUUUAAUUGAACUCUGUCUCUCCCUUCUUGUCAUGACUAUAGUGCUGAGAAAAUAGUUUUAUCAGAAAAAUAAUAUUUUAAAUAAUGGAGAAAAAAGAAUUAAAAUGAUAAAACCAUUUUCCUGAGUCAAGCAUCUUGUUAUUUAGAAGAUGGGCAUUUGUUUCAUUAAUUGAAUAAUGAUUAGGGAACUUUAGUUUAUUUAAAAUAGGGAGAAAGAUUAUUCACAAAAUAAUUUAAUGUUUCG